RNAcentral lists this ribosomal RNA (301 nucleotides) under uncultured bacterium. RNAcentral describes it as "partial 16S ribosomal RNA". It matches the Rfam family "Bacterial small subunit ribosomal RNA", at positions 509 to 809 of the family's 1533-position model. The record is from RNAcentral.
CAGUAGCCGCGGGAAAACAGAGGUCCCGAGCGUUGUUCGGAUUCACUGGGCGUAAAGGGUGUGUAGGAGGUUGGAUAAGUCAGGUGUGAAACCCCACAGCUUAACUGUGGAACUGCAUUCGAUACUGUCUGACUAGAGGAUCGGAGGGGGAAGCGGAAUUCUUGGUGUAGCGGUGAAAUGCGUAGAUAUCGGAAGGAACACCUGUGGCGAAAGCGGCUCACUGGACCAUUUCUGACGCUGAUGCACGAAAGCUAGGGGAGCAAACAGGAUUAGAGACCCCUGUAGUCCCUGUCUCUUAUAA